GAUGAACGCUAGCGGCAGGCCUAACACAUGCAAGUCGAGGGAGAGGUUAUCUUCGGGUAACCAAAACCGGCGCACGGGUGCGUAACGCGUAUACAAUCUGCCUUUCACAUAGGGAUAGCCCGAAGAAAUUUGGAUUAAUACCUAAUGGUAUAUAAGAGCGGCAUCGUUUUUAUAUUAAAGCUACGGUGGUGAAAGAUGAGUAUGCGUUCUAUUAGCUAGUUGGAGAGGUAACGGCUCCCCAAGGCGACGAUAGAUAGGGGUUCUGAGAGGGAUGUCCCCCACACUGGUACUGAGAUACGGACCAGACUCCUACGGGAGGCAGCAGUGAGGAAUAUUGGACAAUGGUCGGAAGACUGAUCCAGCCAUGCCGCGUGCAGGAUGAAGGUCCUAUGGAUUGUAAACUGCUUUUGUAAGGGAAGAAUAAGGAGUACGUGUACUUUGAUGACGGUACCUUACGAAUAAGCAUCGGCUAACUCCGUGCCGACAGCCGCGGUAAUACGGAGGAUGCGAGCGUUAUCCGGAAUCAUCGGGUUUUAAGGGUCCGUAGGCGGGCUGAUAAGUCAGAGGUGAAAGCGCUUAUCUUAACUAACAACUGCCCCUUGAAACUGUCAGUCUUGAAUGAUUGUGAAGUAGUUGCAAUGUGUAGUGUAGCGGUGAAAGCUUUAUAUUACUCAAAACACCGAGGGCCAGGGUUUAUUACUAAAAAAUUCGACCCCUGCACCAAAGCGGGGGGGGACCGAUUAAAUCCUAGUAUCCAAAGCUAUUUCACAAUAUUUCAAGUUAUCAAACGGGGGACCCCCAGGGGGGGGCGGGGCCCCACCGGGGGUACUUUAUUGUC
Molecule: ribosomal RNA, 838 nt
Filed under: uncultured Pseudomonadota bacterium
Lineage: Bacteria; Pseudomonadati; Pseudomonadota
Description: bacterial SSU rRNA
Rfam family: Bacterial small subunit ribosomal RNA
Source: RNAcentral